This 1475-nucleotide ribosomal RNA is filed under the name 'Vigna unguiculata subsp. sesquipedalis' phytoplasma. RNAcentral describes it as "bacterial SSU rRNA". It matches the Rfam family "Bacterial small subunit ribosomal RNA". The record is from RNAcentral. Lineage: Bacteria; Bacillati; Mycoplasmatota; Mollicutes; Acholeplasmatales; Acholeplasmataceae.
CAUGUCGAACGGAAACCUUCGCGGUUAUUAGUGGCGAACGGGUGAGUAACACGUAAGCAACCUACCCUAAAGACGAGGAUAACCAUUGGAAACAGUGGCUAAGACUGGAUAGGAAGAUAAAAGGCAUCUUGUAUCUUUUAAAAGACCUAGUUAAUAGGUAUGCUUUAGGAGGGGCUUGCGCCAUAUUAGUUAGUUGGUAGGGUAAUGGCCUACCAAGACGAUGAUGUGUAGCUGGACUGAGAGGUUGAACAGCCACAUUGGGACUGAGACACGGCCCAAACUCCUACGGGAGGCAGCAGUAGGGAAUUUUCGGCAAUGGAGGAAACUCUGACCGAGCAACGCCGCGUGAAUGACGAAGUACUUCGGUAUGUAAAGUUCUUUUAUCGAGGAAGAAAAGCAAAUGGCGAACCAUUUGUUUGCCGGUACUUGAUGAAUAAGCCCCGGCUAAUUAUGUGCCAGCAGCCGCGGUAAGACAUAAGGGGCAAGUGUUAUCCGGAAUUAUUGGGCGUAAAGGGUGCGUAGGCGGUCUAGUAAGUCAGUGGUGUAAUGGCAACGCUUAACGUUGUCCGGCUAUUGAAACUGCUAAACUUGAGUUAGAUAGAGGCGAGUGGAAUUCCAUGUGUAGCGGUAAAAUGCGUAAAUAUAUGGAGGAACACCAGAGGCGUAGGCGGCUCGCUGGGUCUUAACUGACGCUGAGGCACGAAAGCGUGGGGAGCAAACAGGAUUAGAUACCCUGGUAGUCCACGCCGUAAACGAUGAGUACUAAGUGUCGGGUUAAACCGGUACUGAAGUUAACACAUUAAGUACUCCGCCUGAGUAGUACGUACGCAAGUAUGAAACUUAAAGGAAUUGACGGGACUCCGCACAAGCGGUGGAUCAUGUUGUUUAAUUCGAAGAUACCCGAAAAACCUUACCAGGUCUUGACAUGUUUUUGCAAAAUGAUAGUAAUAUCGUGGAGGUUACCAGAAACACAGGUGGUGCAUGGUUGUCGUCAGCUCGUGUCGUGAGAUGUUAGGUUAAGUCCUAAAACGAGCGAAACCCUUAUCGUUAGUUGCCAGCACGUUAUGGUGGGGACUUUAACGAGACUGCCAAUGAUAAAUUGGAGGAAGGUGAGGAUCACGUCAAAUCAGCAUGCCCCUUAUGACCUGGGCUACAAACGUGAUACAAUGGCUGUUACAAAGGGUAGCUGAAACGCAAGUUCUUGGCCAAUCCCCAAAAACAGUCCCAGUCCGGAUUGAAGUCUGCAACUCGACUUCAUGAAGUUGGAAUCGCUAGUAAUCGCGAAUCAGCAUGUCGCGGUGAAUACGUUCUCGGGGUUUGUACACACCGCCCGUCAAACCACGAAAGUUGGCAAUACCCCAAAACGGUAGCCUAACUCGUUUAUUCGAGAGGGCGCCGUCUAAGGUAGGGUCGAUGAUUGGGGUUAAGUCGUAACAAGGUAUCCCUACCGGAAGGUGGGGAUGGAUCACCUCCUU